GAUGAACGCUAGCGGGAGGCUUAACACAUGCAAGCCGAGGGGUAUUCAGUUGCUUGCAACUGGAGAGACCGGCGCACGGGUGAGUAACACGUAUGCAACCUGCCUGUAAGCGGGGGAUAACCCGUUGAAAGACGGACUAAUACCGCAUAAUACUGGAGAUCUGCAUGGAUAUUCAGUUAAACAUUUAUGGCUUACAGAUGGGCAUGCGCAUGAUUAGAUAGUUGGAGAGGUAACGGCUCCCCAAGUCAACGAUCAUUAGGGGUUCUGAGAGGAAGGUCCCCCACACUGGUACUGAGACACGGACCAGACUCCUACGGGAGGCAGCAGUGAGGAAUAUUGGUCAAUGGACGCAAGUCUGAACCAGCCACGUCGCGUGAAGGAAGACGGCCCUACGGGUUGUAAACUUCUUUUAACGGGAAUAAAGUGCCCCACGCGUGGGUUUUGCAUGUACCGUAUGAAUAAGGAUCGGCUAACUCCGUGCCAGCAGCCGCGGU
This 494-nucleotide ribosomal RNA is filed under the name uncultured bacterium. RNAcentral describes it as "bacterial SSU rRNA". It matches the Rfam family "Bacterial small subunit ribosomal RNA", at positions 28 to 521 of the family's 1533-position model. The record is from RNAcentral.